RNAcentral lists this ribosomal RNA (497 nucleotides) under uncultured bacterium. RNAcentral describes it as "partial 16S ribosomal RNA". It matches the Rfam family "Bacterial small subunit ribosomal RNA", at positions 28 to 507 of the family's 1533-position model. The record is from RNAcentral.
GAUGAACGCUGGCGGCGUGCCUAAUACAUGCAAGUCGAGCGAACAGACGAGGAGCUUGCUCCUCUGACGUUAGCGGCGGACGGGUGAGUAACACGUGGAUAACCUACCUAUAAGACUGGGAUAACUUCGGGAAACCGGAGCUAAUACCGGAUAAUAUAUUGAACCGCAUGGUUCAAUAGUGAAAGACGGUUUUGCUGUCACUUAUAGAUGGAUCCGCGCCGCAUUAGCUAGUUGGUAAGGUAACGGCUUACCAAGGCAACGAUGCGUAGCCGACCUGAGAGGGUGAUCGGCCACACCGGAACUGAGAAACGGUCAAGACUCCUACGGGAGGCAGCAGUAGGGAAUCCUCCGCAAUGGGCGAAAGCCUGACGGAGCAACGCCGCGUGAGUGAUGAAGGUCUUCGGAUCGUAAAACUCUGUUAUUAGGGAAGAACAAAUGUGUAAGUAACUAUGCACGUCUUGACGGUACCUAAUCAGAAAGCCACGGCUAACUACGUG